AUUGAACGCUGGCGGCAGGCCUAACACAUGCAAGUCGAACGGUAACAGGAAGCAGCUUGCUGCUUCGCUGACGAGUGGCGGACGGGUGAGUAAUGUCUGGGAAACUGCCUGAUGGAGGGGGAUAACUACUGGAAACGGUAGCUAAUACCGCAUAACGUCGCAAGACCAAAGAGGGGGACCUUAGGGCCUGUUGCCAUCGGAUGUGCCCAGAUGGGAUUAGCUAGUAGGUGGGGUAACGGCUCACCUAGGCGACGAUCCCUAGCUGGUCUGAGAGGAUGACCAGCCACACUGGAACUGAGACACGGUCCAGACUCCUACGGGAGGCAGCAGUGGGGAAUAUUGCACAAUGGGCGCAAGCCUGAUGCAGCCAUGCCGCGUGUAUGAAGAAGGCCUUCGGGUUGUAAAGUACUUUCAGCGGGGAGGAAGGGAGUAAAGUUAAUACCUUUGCUCAUUGACGUUACCCGCAGAAGAAGCACCGGCUAACUCCGUG
Molecule: ribosomal RNA, 490 nt
Filed under: uncultured bacterium
Lineage: Bacteria
Description: partial 16S ribosomal RNA
Rfam family: Bacterial small subunit ribosomal RNA
Source: RNAcentral